RNAcentral lists this long non-coding RNA (5748 nucleotides) under Erythranthe guttata (spotted monkey flower). RNAcentral describes it as "long non-coding RNA (EGUT_LNC000914)". The record is from RNAcentral. Lineage: Eukaryota; Viridiplantae; Streptophyta; Magnoliopsida; Lamiales; Phrymaceae.
GAUUUACUAAUGGACUCUAAUGUAGCCUACUGUUUCUCGAGGUUUGGUUUCUUUUCGUACUCUUAUCAGCUAUUUGUUAAUUCUUGAAUCUGACUAUCUUUAUUGAGCAUAAUUGUAUCUGUUUUAAAAGGUCUUAAUCAACCUCUGACGUGAAGUAGAAACCGUGCCCAUCUACACAUUCUUCGUCAAGUUUUUUAAUUCACUAUUUUAAUUUUGUGCAUAUCAUGUAAUUCGGUUGGGUUUGGGAUAGAUCACUUCAGCAUUUAAGAAAAAAUAAAUGGAAUUUUCAAAUAUGUGUAGCUUAUAGUAAAUGACAAUUCUAUAACUGCUUUAUAGAUUUUUCUCCCUAAGUUGACUUUUUGCCUCUUUAGAGGAUAUCCCUUCUAUUAGCAAUUUCCAAACAAGUGUCACCAAGUUUGCUUAGUGUCAGUCAACCGAAAUUAUAUCAUAAUAGCAGAAAAGCAAAAUAAAAAAGAAAAUUAAGAAAAAAAAGUCAUUACAUUGUUUAAAAUGGGGCAUUCCGAGAAUUGAACUCGGGACCUCUCGCUCCCGAAGCGAGAAUCAUACCACUAGACCAAAUGCCCUUUUGUAUUAGUUUCUUGAUCUCUCUUCUUUAAGCUGAUAGUUGACUUAAAUUCAAAAUUCAUUUGUUGAUUUUAGACAAUCUUUAUUGACUACAUGGCUAGUUAAGGUGGGACUAGGUUGACUUUUGUUGAUCAGAUUCUUGGCAAUGCCUUGAAAGCACUGCAAGCAAAUGACUAAUAGAUUUACCCUUAUGAUGUAAUGAAACUUUGGUAAAUUCUUAAACAUGGCGAUAUUCUUAAAGCUCUUAAUCAACAUCCGACAAAGAGUCAUCCGUGAAUUCUUCCUCGAGUUUCAUUAAUUUAUUCGUCUAAUGUUGUGCAUAUCAUGUUUUUUCUCGUUUUGGGUAAGUUCUCGAUAAUGCCUCAACAAUUUCAUUGUUGCUAUGCUCGGUUUUUCACUUUUGACUUAAUGGUUCUCAAAAGACCAUCAAAUGCUUAUGCAAAAUUUAUGGCUUAUUUUCACAUAUUCACUACCAUUAUAGUUAUCAUUUCUCCGAGCUUGAUUUUGUUAGUACUAUGUCAGCUAUUGGCUAGUUCUUAUUCAAAAUGGACUUUGUUUGCUGAGUGAAACUGUAUCGGUUUAGACUAGUAAACAUCUAGGAGUCUUUCGGGUUGGGUUUUUUACUAGAUCACUUCGACACCGAGAUAAUUAACAAUAACUUAUAAAAAUGAACCAUUUUAUAGCUGUUAUCCAAACUUUUUUCUACCCCUAAGUUGACUUUGCCAGCUUCUAUAAUUUGAUAGCCCUUUAAUUAACAUGUUAUUGAAAAUAUAAAAUGACACGAGAAAAUCCGAAAAAAGAUAAUAAAAAUUGCAUUGACUUGAUUGAAAAGGGGCAUUCCGAGAAUCGAACUCGGGACCUCUCGCACCCAAAGCGAGAAUCAUACCACUAGACCAAAUGCCCUUCUGUGUUAUUACUUAAUCUCUAUUCUUAUAGAUGUUGUAUAUUGCAUAAUAAUGCUUUGGGUUUAGACACUAUAUACAUCUCACUUAGAUAGGUAAAUCAUCUAUUGCUUUUAGACAACCUUUGAUGUCUAUAAUGUCAAGUUGAGGGGUAGCACUAGUCUCGACUUUUCGUUGAUUGGUUCAUUGGCAAUGCCAUGAAAUUCUCAGCAAACAACUUCUAGAUUUACUCUAAGUGAUGAAACCUUUGUGAAUUCUUAAACAUUCAGAUUUUCCUUAAAGCUCUUAGUCAACCUCUGAGAUCGACUCAUGUCAUCGUAAAUUCCUCCCUCAUGGAUAAUGUCUUAACAAUUUCAUUGUUGUUAAGGCCUGUUUUUCACUUUUGGCUUAACGGCUAUCAAAAGAUCAUCUAAUCCUUCCGUAAAAUUUCUUCGUAGUUUUACAGUUUUACUGAUGGACUCUUAUUUAGCUAAGUUUCUCUUAGCUUCGUUCCUUUCAUACUCUAUUAGCUAUUUGCUAAUUCUUAUUCAAAUUGGACUAUGUUUAUUCAGCAUAAACGUAUUUGUUUUAACUAAUAAACAUGUAGGAGUUUUUUGAGGUGGCUUUGGACUAGAUCACUUUGACAUGAAGAAGAAAUAAAAGGACUUCUAAAAUCUUUAUAGCUUAUAACACUUUAAUAAUUCUAUAUCUGCUAUCCGGACUUCUUUCCACCCUUGAAUCGACUCUUUCAGCAUUGUAAGCUGCUAUCCCUUUAAUUAAAUCCAAAAUAUAUUUGACAGGAGAAAACCCAAAAAAAGAAAAUUGCAUUAACUUGUUUGAAAAAGGGGCAUUCCGAGAAUCGAACUCGGGACCUCUCGCACCCAAAGCGAGAAUCAUACCACUAGACCAAAUGCCCUGUUGUUUAUAUACUUCUUCAUCUCUCUUGUUAGAUCUUAUAUUGUAUAGUGCAUAAUGCUUUGGAUAUAGGCUCUAGAUGUAGUUGACUUAGAUUCAAAAUUCAUUCUUGCUUUUAGACAACCUUUAUUGUCUAUAAUGUAUAGUUAAGGGGUAGCACUAGGUUCAUUUUAUUGAUUGGAUUAUUGAAAACCAUGCGAGUAUUAGAUUUACUCUUUUGAAAUAACUAAACCUUGGUGAAUUCUUAAACAAUCAGAUAUUUGCUCGUAAAUGUCUUAUUAAACCCUGUGUAGUGAUCCAUGCAAACUAUACAUUCUUCCCAAAGUUUUUUAAUUCACUAUUUUUGUAUUGUGCAUACCAUUUAGUUUUAGCUUCAUUGUUACAUGCCAGGAUUUUGGGUAAAUUACGAAACAUGGUCUAACAAUUCCUUGUCUUGUAAGACUGUAGUUUACGUUUUGUACUGUGUUUAUUCUACAUAUUAUGUGUAUUUUUUAGUUGGGUCGGGACUAGAUCACUUUGACUUUUAAGAAGAAAUAAUGGAAUUCUAAAAUCUAAAAUAAACUUGUUAUAAUUUUAAAUUCUAUAAUUGCUAUCGAGACUAUUUCUUGAUCUCUUCUUAGGUUGACUUUGCCUGCCUCUAUAAGCUGUUUGCCCUUUUAUUUACAAUAUCAAAAUUAAAAAAAUGUAAUAGGAGAAAAAGCCAAAAAAGAAAUUGCAUUAAAUUAUUUGAUGGGGCAUUCCGAGAAUCGAACUCGGGACCUCUCGCACCCAAAGCGAGAAUCAUACCACUAGACCAAAUGCCCUGUUGUAUUAGUUGCUAGAUGUGUCUUCUUUAGCUGAUGUUAUAGAAUGCAAUAAUGCAUUGGGUUUAGAGUCUAUAUAAAAUUAUAAAUUUCACUUCGAUAGGUUUUUAGACAAUCUUUAUGUUUAUAAGUCAAAUUAAAGGGGGAUUAGGUUUGACUUCUCUUGAUUUGAUUCUUAAAUGAUAAAACCUUGGCGAGUUCUUAAACAGACAGAUGUUCUUAAAGCUCUUAAUCAACCUCUGUCAUUGGAGUGAUCCAUUUCACGUAAUAAUUCUUCGUUGAGUUCGUUAAUUUACUUUUUAUAUGUUGUGCAUAUCAUGUUAUUUUAAGUUCAUUAUUAAGAUACCACGCUUUUGGUUACAUUCCGUAUUAUGGCUCAACAAUUUCAUUGCUGUUAAGACCUGUUUUCCAGUUCCGUAUGAUGGCAUAAUGGUUCGCAAAAAAUCAUCAAAUGCUUCUGAAAAAAAAUUCUUUCUUAUUUUCACAGAUUGACUAAUGGACUCUAAUGUGUAGCCUACAGUUUCUCGAGGUUUGGUUUCUUUUCAUACUCUUAUCAGCUAUUUGUUAGUUCUUAUUCAAAUUUGACUAUCUUUAUUCGGCAUAAUAGUAUAUGUUUUAAAAGGUCUUAAUCAACUUUUGACGUGGUGUGGAAACCACGCCCAUCUAUACGUUCUUGCUCGAGUUCUUAGUUCACUAUUUUAAUUUUGUGCAUAUCAUGUAACUCUUGUUGGGUUUGGGCUAGAUCACUUCAGUUCAGCAUUUGAGAAGAAAUAAAUAGAAUUUUGAAAUUGUGUAGCUUAUAGUAAAUGACAAUUCUAUAACUGCCUAAAAGAUUUCUCUCCUGAGUUGACUUUUUGCUUCGUAAGAGGGUGGCCCUUUUAUUAACAAUUUCCAAACAAGUGUCACCAAGUUUGCUUACUGUCAGGUCAACCUAAAUUAUAUCAUAGUAGAAAAGCAAAAUAGAAAAGAAAAUUAAUAAAAAAGUCAUUAAAAAAAAUGGGGCAUUCCGAGAAUUGAACUCGGGACCUCUCGCUCCCAAAGCGAGAAUCAUACCACUAGACCAAAUGCCCUUGUGAGUUAAUAACUUGAUCUGUCUUCUGUAAGCUGAUGUUGGAGUUAGGCUCUAGACGUAGUUGACUUAGAUUCAAAAGUCAUUUGUUGAUCUUAGACCAUUAUAACUUAUAGUUAUCAUUUCUCCGAGCUUGAUUACGUGUUCAUACUCUGUCAGCUAUUUGCUAAUUCUUAUUCAAUAUGGACUCUGUUUAUCGAGCGUAUUGUAUCGGUUUUAACUUAGUAAGCACCUAGGAGUUUUAUUUGGUCGGGUUUGGACUAGAUCACUUCGACAUUGUGAUCUGAACUAUUUACAACCUUUAAGUUGACUUUGCCAGCGUCUGUAUUUUGGUAGCCCUGUAAUUAACAAUUUAUUGAAUAUAAAAUCUUAGGAGAUAAAUCAAAAAGAAUAUAUUGCAUUAACUUGUUUGAAUGGGGGCAUUCCGAGAAUCGAACUCGGGACCUCUCGCACCCAAAGCGAGAAUCAUACCACUAGACCAAAUGCCCUUUUGCUAUUAUUGCUUGAUCUAUCUUCUUAAAGAUGAUAUUGUUUUUGUGCAUAAUGUUUUGGAUUUAGGAUCUAGAUGUAGGUUACUUAAUUUCAAGAGUCAUUUGUUACUUUUAGGCAACCUUUAUUAUCUAUAAUGGCUAGUUAUGGGGUGGCACUAAGGUUCGUUUUCUUGAUUGGAUUAUUGCCAAUUCCAUGAAAGUUCCAGAAACAACGAGUAUUGGAUUAUAACCGUUGAUCUGCACAUAAUCACCCACACACCCAUGUGUAUGUGUGUUUAGGUUGGUGCGUGUGCUUAGUGGGUGGUUAUUUGACUACAUCAAAAGUUAAUAAUCACCCGGGGUAGCAUCUCAAUAACCGAUUUUUCAAGUCUCCAUAAGCUGCUUGCCCUUUCAUUAAAAAUUUUUAAAAUAAAAAUAAUAUAAAAUGGUGGGAGAAAAGCCAAAAAAGAAUUGCAAUUAACUUGUUCAAAAAGGGGCAUUCCGAGAAUCGAACUCGGGACCUCUCGCACCCAAAGCGAGAAUCAUACCACUAGACCAAAUGCCCUCUUGUUUAUAUACUUCUUGAUCUCUCUUCUUAAGUGUGAUGUUGUAUAGUGUAUGUUUCUUGUGGACAACAUUUAAUUUCUAUAAUGCAAGUUGAGGGUGGGACUAGGUUUGGCUUUUCUCGAUGGGAAUCUUAAAUAAUGAAAACCGUGGUGAAUUCUUAAACAAGUAGAUAUUUGUUCUUAAAGCUCUUAAUCAACCUAUGUUAACUCCCGUUUUUGGCAUAAUAAUUCGCGAAAAAUCAUCAAAUGCUUCUGACUGAAAAAGUUCCGUUGUUUCUUAUCUUUGCAGAUUUAGUACUGCGACUCUAAUAUAUAGUCGCUAGUCGCUACUACUACCAUUUCUAAUGAAGUUGGUCUCUUUCGUACUCUUUGAGGUAUUUGCUAAUUCGUACUUGAGUUCGACUUGUGUUUAUUCAGCAUGAUGUAUUUUUUUUCUUUUUUGAGGGAUAUGAGAUUCAG